RNAcentral lists this unclassified non-coding RNA (263 nucleotides) under plant metagenome. RNAcentral's name for it is "partial contains small subunit ribosomal RNA, internal transcribed spacer 1, and 5.8S ribosomal RNA". The record is from RNAcentral.
UUUCCGUAAGUGAACCUGCGGAAGGAUCAUUAUUGUAUAACCGAGGUGCGAGGGCUGUCGCUGACCCGAAAGGUCGUGCACGCCCGAGUGCCCUCACACACAUCCAUCUCACCCCUAUGUGCACCACCGCGUGGGUCCCCCUUUGGCUUGUUCGGAGGGGGGCUUACGUUUUCACACAAACUUUGUAUGCAGUGUAGAAUGUAUUUUUUGUUUUUGCGAUCACGCAAUCAAUACAACUUUCAACAACGGAUCUCUUGGCUCUC